This 765-nucleotide ribosomal RNA is filed under the name Oenococcus oeni. RNAcentral's name for it is "bacterial LSU rRNA". It matches the Rfam family "Bacterial large subunit ribosomal RNA", at positions 1 to 769 of the family's 2925-position model. The record is from RNAcentral. Lineage: Bacteria; Bacillati; Bacillota; Bacilli; Lactobacillales; Lactobacillaceae.
GAUAGGUUAAGUUAAUAAGGGCGCAUGGUGGAUGCCUUGGCACUAGAAGGCGAUGAAGGACGUGACUAACUACGAUAUGCCUCGGUUAGCUGUAAGUAAGCUUACCCGGGGGUUUCCGAAUGGGGCAACCCGAUCUUAAUGAUCAUCAUCUUUUUGAAUUCAUAGAUUAGAUGAAGCAAACACUGUGAACUGAAACAUCUCAGUAGCAGUAGGAAAGUAAAGAAAUUUCGAUUCCGUCAGUAGCGGCGAGCGAACGCGGAAGAGCCCAAACCUGGAUGCUUGCAUCCAGGGGUUGUAGGACUGAUGUUGAGUUACAAAGGUAUAAGAUAGCAGAAACAGUUGGGAAGCUGUUCCAAAGAGGGUGACAGGCCCGUAUGCGAAAUCUUGUACUCUCUAAUCAGGAUCCUGAGUACGGCCCAGCACGUGAAAUUGGGUCGGAAUCUGGGAGGACCAUCUCCCAAGGCUAAAUACUAACUAGUGACCGAUAGCGAACAAGUACCGUGAGGGAAAGGUGAAAAGAACCCCGGAAGGGGAGUGAAAUAGUUCUUGAAACCGUGUGCUUACAAGAAGUUCGAGGCCGUUAAUGGCUGAGAGCGUGCUUUUUGUAGAAUGAACCGGAGAGUUACGAUUGCGUGCAAGGUUAAGGUGCAAAGACUGGAGCCGUAGCGAAAGCGAGUCUUAAUAGGGCGAAUCAGUACGUAGUUGUAGACCCGAAACCGAGUGACCUAUCCAUGGUCAGGUUGAAGGUGGGGUAAUACCUACUGG